RNAcentral lists this long non-coding RNA (302 nucleotides) under Olea europaea (common olive). RNAcentral describes it as "long non-coding RNA (OEUR_LNC003658)". Lineage: Eukaryota; Viridiplantae; Streptophyta; Magnoliopsida; Lamiales; Oleaceae. The record is from RNAcentral.
AGGUCUACUAAAUAGUAAUUUCAGUGUUUAAAAGAAACUCACAUAAAGUGACAGAGAUUUUAUACCAUAAUUUCUUGAAUUAAUCUCCUUCAGUAGCAUCAUUCUAAUUUCCUAACAUACUUUAUGAGUCUCUUCAUCUUUAGCUCUUUCCUAAGUUUCAAAUUUUAUUUUCGUAUGAACAAGAUUAACACGAGCUAUGUGUUUUUUUCCUCUUCAAGUGCGUCUUAAAAAUAAUCUUCGUUCAUGCAGGGAAUAUCCCACAUCUCACUCCACAGGACCAUCAUUCCAUUCUCCCCACCGGU